UACAGAGGUCCCAAGCGUUGUUCGGAUUCACUGGGCGUAAAGGGUGCGUAGGCGGUCGGGUAAGUCUGAUGUGAAAUCUCACAGCUUAACUGUGAAACUGCAUUGGAUACUAUCCGGCUCGAGGAAUGCAGGGGAGACUGGAAUACUUGGUGUAGCAGUGAAAUGCGUAGAUAUCAAGUGGAACACCAGUGGCGAAGGCGAGUCUCUGGACAUUUCCUGACGCUGAGGCACGAAAGCUAGGGGAGCAAACAGG
Molecule: ribosomal RNA, 253 nt
Filed under: uncultured bacterium
Lineage: Bacteria
Description: partial 16S ribosomal RNA
Rfam family: Bacterial small subunit ribosomal RNA
Source: RNAcentral